GAUGAAGAACGCAGCGAAAUGCGAUACGUAAUGUGAAUUGCAGAAUUCAGUGAAUCAUCGAAUCUUUGAACGCACCUUGCACUCUUUGGUAUUCCGAAGAGUAUGUCUGUUUGAGUGUCAUGAAACUCUCAACCCCCUUGUUUUGUAAUGGAACAGGCGUGGGCUUGGAUUAUGGCUGUCUGCUGGACUCUUUAAGUAGAGAUCGGCUCGGCUGAAAUACACGAGUAACCCAGGUUGAACAUUAACGGCUUGACUCGGCGUAAUAGCUUUAUUUCGCUGAGGACGUUUCAGAUCAAGAUAGUGGUGCUUCUAAUGCGUCGUAGCGUCAGCUGCACAACCUUUAAGCUUUAGACCUCAAAUCAGUCAGGACUACCCGCUGAACUUAAGCAUAUCAAUAAGCGGAGGA
This 406-nucleotide unclassified non-coding RNA is filed under the name soil metagenome. RNAcentral's name for it is "partial contains 5.8S ribosomal RNA, internal transcribed spacer 2, and large subunit ribosomal RNA". The stretch from base 1 to 120 matches the Rfam family "5.8S ribosomal RNA", at positions 35 to 154 of the family's 154-position model. The record is from RNAcentral.